This 468-nucleotide ribosomal RNA is filed under the name uncultured bacterium. RNAcentral's name for it is "partial 16S ribosomal RNA". It matches the Rfam family "Bacterial small subunit ribosomal RNA", at positions 28 to 507 of the family's 1533-position model. The record is from RNAcentral.
GACGAACGCUGGCGGCGUGCUUAACACAUGCAAGUCGAACGGAAAGGCCCUGCUUUUGUGGGGUGCUCGAGUGGCGAACGGGUGAGUAACACGUGAGUAACCUGCCCUUGACUUUGGGAUAACUUCAGGAAACUGGGGCUAAUACCGGAUAGGAGCUCCUGCUGCAUGGUGGGGGUUGGAAAGUUUCGGCGGUUGGGGAUGGACUCGCGGCUUAUCAGCUUGUUGGUGGGGUAGUGGCUUACCAAGGCUUUGACGGGUAGCCGGCCUGAGAGGGUGACCGGCCACAUUGGGACUGAGAGACGGCCAAGACUCCUACGGGAGGCAGGAGUGGGGAAUAUUGAGCGAUGGGCGGAAGCCUGAUGCAGCAACGCCGCGUGCGGGAUGACGGCCUUCGGGUUGUAAACCGCUUUCGCCUGUGACGAAGCGUGAGUGACGGUAAUGGGUAAAGAAGCACCGGCUAACUACGUG